Apteryx haastii (Great spotted kiwi) is the source of this 69-nucleotide small nucleolar RNA. Its record names the gene SNORD82. It matches the Rfam family "Small nucleolar RNA SNORD82". From Rfam's summary of the family: snoRNA U82 or Z25 is found in both humans and mice. U82/Z25 is a member of the C/D class of snoRNA which contain C (UGAUGA) and D (CUGA) box motifs. Most of the members of the box C/D family function in directing site-specific 2'-O-methylation of substrate RNAs. The record is from Ensembl. NCBI's taxonomy places the organism in Eukaryota, Metazoa, Chordata, Aves, Apterygiformes, Apterygidae.
AGCACAAAUGAUGAUUCUAAGGGACUUAAUACUGAAGCAUGAUGUCAUUUUAAGCAGAAACUGAUGUGC